Molecule: long non-coding RNA, 237 nt
Filed under: Jatropha curcas
Lineage: Eukaryota; Viridiplantae; Streptophyta; Magnoliopsida; Malpighiales; Euphorbiaceae
Description: long non-coding RNA (JCUR_LNC001918)
Source: RNAcentral
GAGCAAAUUACAAAAAUAAAAUGUCUUUCCAAUUAACAAAAUUGAAGAAAAAUACAGAAAAUACAGAGUAUCUACCAACUCAUACAGAAUAAACAUGAAAAAGAUAGGAAAUAGAUUAACCAUUGCAAAGAAGGGCUCUUGGUGGAUGAGAAUGGAGGAGGAGAAAGAGAGACAUGGAGAGAGUGGAUUCAUCAAGGAUAGAAACCAGUGCAAGCCGACGAUUAACCACGGCAAAAG